RNAcentral lists this ribosomal RNA (438 nucleotides) under uncultured bacterium. Its description in RNAcentral is "bacterial SSU rRNA". It matches the Rfam family "Bacterial small subunit ribosomal RNA", at positions 340 to 773 of the family's 1533-position model. The record is from RNAcentral.
UACGGGAGGCAGCAGUGGGGAAUAUUGCACAAUGGGCGCAAGCCUGAUGCAGCCAUGCCGCGUGUAUGAAGAAGGCCUUCGGGUUGUAAAGUACUUUCAGUCGUGAGGAAGGUGUUAAGGUUAAUAACCUUAGCAAUUGACGUUAGCGACAGAAGAAGCACCGGCUAACUCCGUGCCAGCAGCCGCGGUAAUACGGGGGUGCGAGCGUUAAUCGGAAUUACUGGGCGUAAAGGGCACGCAGGCGGUUAAUUAAGUUGGAUGUGAAAUCCCCGGGCUUAACCUGGGAAUGGCAUUCAAGACUGGUUAGCUAGAGUCUUGUAGAGGGGGUAGAAUUCCAUGUGUAGCGGUGAAAUGCGUAGAGAUGUGGAGGAAUACCGGUGGCGAAGGCGGCCCCUGGACAAAGACUGACGCUCAUGUGCGAAAGCGUGGGGAGCAAAC